GCUUACGGCCAUACCACCCUGAGCACGCCCGAUCUCGUCUGAUUUCCGAAGUUAAGCAGGUUCGGGCCUGGUUAGUACUUGGAUGGGAGACCGCCUGGGAAUACCAGGUGCUGUAAGCU
This is a ribosomal RNA of Betta splendens (Siamese fighting fish), 119 nucleotides long. NCBI's taxonomy places the organism in Eukaryota, Metazoa, Chordata, Actinopteri, Anabantiformes, Osphronemidae. The record is from Ensembl.